RNAcentral lists this long non-coding RNA (334 nucleotides) under Carica papaya (papaya). RNAcentral's name for it is "long non-coding RNA (CPAP_LNC004877)". Lineage: Eukaryota; Viridiplantae; Streptophyta; Magnoliopsida; Brassicales; Caricaceae. The record is from RNAcentral.
AAUUAAAUACAAACAGGAAAUUAUUUAAUUAAAUGAAUAAAUGAAUAAUAGUCUUACUGGUUAUCUUAGGAGAUGGUGAACGACGGGGUGCAUAGGAAAUCCUAUCGUGAAUGUGGCUUCAUAUCGAACGGGGUAUCGAGGAUUGAUAUUUUGGUGCUCAUACCGGACAGGGUAUGGGAACCGCCCGUUUCACCCUCAUACCGAACGGGGUAUUGAGGGAUAGUAUUUUUGGCAUCAUACCGAACGGGGUAUGGGGACGACUGGUUAGUUGACAAUGUUGAAUAAGGGCUCACACAUAGUAGGGAUAUCCCUAUGGACGCCCAUAGAUACUAGU